Molecule: ribosomal RNA, 254 nt
Filed under: uncultured bacterium
Lineage: Bacteria
Description: partial 16S ribosomal RNA
Rfam family: Bacterial small subunit ribosomal RNA
Source: RNAcentral
UACGAAGGGGGCAAGCGUUGUCCGGAAUUAUUGGGCGUAAAGAGCUCGUAGGCGGCUUGUCACGUCGGGUGUGAAAGCCCGGGGCUUAACCCCAGUCCUGCUUCCGAUACGGGUGGACUAGAGGUAGGCAGGGGGAGAACGGAAUUCCUGGUGUAGCGGUGAAAUGCGCAGAUAUCAGGAGGAACACCGGUGGCGAAGGCGGUUCUCUGGGCCUUACCUGACGCUGAGGAGCGAAAGCGUGGGGAGCAAACAGG